Ostrea edulis (European flat oyster) is the source of this 1058-nucleotide long non-coding RNA. RefSeq lists it as uncharacterized. The transcript has 3 exons. The record is from RefSeq and is a predicted model, not a curated record. NCBI's taxonomy places the organism in Eukaryota, Metazoa, Mollusca, Bivalvia, Ostreida, Ostreidae.
GGUUCGUUUGGACGCCUGUUAAACGAUGAUCAUCUCCAUCCAAAUUGUAAGCCAAAAGUCAUUGAGAUAGAUGAGAAGCCAGUUAUUUGCUUUUACUCUCUAAAACCAAUACCUCCAGAUACAGAACUGUUGUGUGAUUAUGGGCCUGGUAACAUGUAUCCUUGGAGAAGAAAGAGGAAGUAAAGGGUAUUGAUGCCAGUUCUUGUGUGGAUGAUGAGGAUCAGAGUGAGGAGGAAAUAGAUGACAGUCAAGACAACCAGAAUUUCCAAACUGUGACUCCAGGGAAGAGGGAGGCAGUAUCUGAUAGCGGAUGCUCCAGAGAAAUGGAUGAGUCUUCAUCCAAGCGACAGAAGUUACAGAAAAGCCAUGGACUUCAUCUGAAAUGAACUCCAUUCACAAACAUUUUUCACACUUUAUUACCAUGUUGAAGGUACCUGGGAAAAAUGAUGUAACACAUGUUUUGAAAAAAAGAUAAAAACCUUUCAAAAAGAAUUUGGAGAAAUGUAAGAGACCAAGUCUACAAUCUAAUAAAAAAAACAGAGAAAAUGUUGAUUUCGAUACUACUUUGAUUGUUCACUAGAAUUGAUGGUAUAUGUAUGAAAAAUGAUAUUUUUGUUUACAGUUCUUACAAAUUACAUAAAUUGUACAUAAAAGAAUUUGUUGAAUCAUUAUCAAAAUAGAUUUUGACAAAUUUCAGCUUUUUAGCUCAUCUGAGUCAAAGGCUCAAGUGAGCCUUUCUGAUAAAAAUGUGUCUGUUUUCUGUCGUUGUUGUGACCGGAAGGUCGGAUGUUUGAAUUCCUGCUGCGACUUGACCUGAGUCAAUAAGAAAUAGGUAGCAACUGUUCCAUGGCCAAGCGCUCAGCACAUUGAAAUAAAAGUUUCGGGUCUUUCAGAUGAGACCUUAAAAACUGAGGUUCCGUGUCAUGGCAGGUGUUGGCAUGAUAAAGAUCCCUCACUGCUCGAUGGCCCUAAGUUCCGAGUAAAGGUCUAAAUUUGAAGCCCUUCACUGGUAUAUGGUGAGGUCUCUGUAUGACUGAAAAAUCUCAUACGGGAUGUAA